UCUUAACCAUUCUAUAGAAUCAGCACCCAUCUUUGAGUCAGAGUUUGAGAUGCAAAUCCUUUACUGUAUAGCCUUGAUCAAAUGACUUCACCUCAUUGAAUUAAUCUUCUUCUGCAUAAAAUGGGGUCACCAUCUGCUUAUCUAAAUUGUUACAAAUGGGACAGUAUAUGUGCCAUUCCAGAUACCUAAUCACAGCUCAAUCGAUGCUGGUGUCUUUUUCCUUUUUCCUUCUGCAGAAAACAUGCUUUACAUAGGAUCUCUGAACUUAAAGAAUGGGAAGAAGAAAAAUCAUGUUUCCAGCUUGGGCUGCUGUUUCAUCUGUUGGACUUGCUUAAAGCGUAUGGGUUUGUUUACCCUUCCUGCAGGCAUCCAACCUGGCCUUUUAUUCCUGCUCAAGUAGGACAUGCAGCCUGCUGGGGACCCGUGGCUCAAAUCCUCCAACUGCAGGACUGCCGGCCCUGGGACUCAUGAAUAAUGGAAGUGCAGUAACCACUCCUUACAGCCCAGACGACUUUCCAGGAGCAGGCUGUACCCCGAAAGUAAACAAGGAACAAGGGGCAAGGAGACAGAGAGAGAUGGGGAAAUAUCCUCACCAACAGCCCUGCUGCAGUGAAAACUGGAGGAUCCCUGAAUGGAAAGGAAUGCUAUGCACACUUUUUGGAUACAGGAAGUGAGAUUCAGAGGGGUUAAACAGCUUUCCUAAAGCCACACAGCGAGAGAGUCGAUCUGAACUGAAGAUUGUUUGACAUCAAAGCUCAUUUCUUUCCCUAAAUGUCAGCAUUCUUUCCUGACUUAUUAAUUUGAUUUCUGUCCUCCCCUCAUGGAAGUUAAUUAAAGGAAUGCGAGAACCUUUUAGAAAAUCUCCAGGGCAGCUUCUGUGUUGAUCAUUGUUUCACAAUCUCUUUUCCACCCA
Molecule: long non-coding RNA, 913 nt
Filed under: Homo sapiens (human)
Lineage: Eukaryota; Metazoa; Chordata; Mammalia; Primates; Hominidae
Description: HSALNT0385929
Source: RNAcentral